This 253-nucleotide ribosomal RNA is filed under the name uncultured bacterium. RNAcentral's name for it is "partial 16S ribosomal RNA". It matches the Rfam family "Bacterial small subunit ribosomal RNA", at positions 524 to 776 of the family's 1533-position model. The record is from RNAcentral.
UACGUAGGGUGCAAGCGUUGUUCGGAAUCAUUGGGCGUAAAGCGCGCGUAGGCGGCCUCAUAAGUCCGUUGUGAAAGUCAAAGGCUCAACCUUUGAAAGCCGAUGGAUACUGUGAGGCUAGAGUCCGGAAGAGGCGAGUGGAAUUCCUGGUGUAGCGGUGAAAUGCGCAGAUAUCAGGAGGAACACCAAUUGCGAAGGCAGCUCGCUGGGACGUUACUGACGCUGAGACGCGAAAGCGUGGGGAGCAAACAGG